GAUGAACGCUAGCGGCAGGCCUAAUACAUGCAAGUCGGACGGGAUCCAUUGAUAGCUUGCUAUCAAUGGUGAGAGUGGCGCACGGGUGCGUAACGCGUGAGCAACCUGCCUCCAUCAGGGGGCUAGCCUCUCGAAAGAGAGAUUAACACCGCAUAAUAUCAACAGUUCGCAUGUUCAGUUGAUUAAAUAUUUAUAGGAUGGAGAUGGGCUCGCGUGACAUUAGCUAGUUGGUAGGGUAACGGCUUACCAAGGAGACGAUGUCUAGGGGCUCUGAGAGGAGAAUCCCCCAGACUGGUACUGAGACACGGACCAGAAUCCUACGGGAGGCAGCAGUAAGGUAUAUUGGUCAAUGAGCGGAAGCCUGAACCAGCCAUGCCGCGUGCAGGAUGACUGCCCUAUGGGUUGUAAACUGCUUUUGACGAGGAAUAAACCUAAAUACGCGUAUUUAGCUGAAUGUACUGGAAGAAUAAGGAUCGGCUAACUCCGUG
Molecule: ribosomal RNA, 488 nt
Filed under: uncultured bacterium
Lineage: Bacteria
Description: partial 16S ribosomal RNA
Rfam family: Bacterial small subunit ribosomal RNA
Source: RNAcentral